Molecule: small RNA, 27 nt
Filed under: Bombyx mori (domestic silkworm)
Lineage: Eukaryota; Metazoa; Arthropoda; Insecta; Lepidoptera; Bombycidae
Description: ovarian small RNA-18373
Source: RNAcentral
UAAAGGUGAGGCAACGUGACGAGUUAU